AGAGUUUGAUCAUGGCUCAGAUUGAACGCUGGCGGUAUGCUUAACACAUGCAAGUCGAACGGUAACAGUCCCUCACCUAGAAAUUUCUUAAAAAGAGAUUUGUAGGUGAGGGAGCUGACGAGUGGCGGACGGGUGCGUAAUGUAUAGGAAUCUGCCUGGUAGUGGGGGACAACUCGGAGAAAUUCGAGCUAAUACCGCAUAAGCCCUCCGGGGGAAAACGGGGGAUCUUCGGACCUCGUGCUAUUAGAUGAGCCUAUAUUAGAUUAGCUUGUCGGUGAGGUAAUGGCUUACCAAGGCGACGAUCUAUAGCUGGUCUGAGAGGAUGAUCAGCCACACUGGGACUGAGACACGGCCCAGACUCCUACGGGAGGCAGCAGUGGGGAAUAUUGGACAAUGGGCGAAAGCCUGAUCCAGCAAUACCGCGUGUGUGAAGAAGGCCUGAGGGUUGUAAAGCACUUUCAAUUGGGAGGAAUACCUAAUAGUUAAUAGCUAUUAGAUUGACA
This 503-nucleotide ribosomal RNA is filed under the name uncultured bacterium. RNAcentral describes it as "bacterial SSU rRNA". It matches the Rfam family "Bacterial small subunit ribosomal RNA", at positions 8 to 474 of the family's 1533-position model. The record is from RNAcentral.